UCCAAGUAAAUAAGAGCAACUUGGACUUUAGCUAAGUGACCUCUAGGGACUUCAAAGAGCAAAGAGUAGCUGCUAAGUAAUCCAACAAUGACCUACUCAAAAUCAAAGAUUGAAUUUGGACUUGGCUUUUGAUUUGGGCCUAAUGAGAUCAUCCAGGCGUGUCUUGAAGAUCGGUUAAAGAAAGUGGUUGCUUAUUCACCAGCAAUGCUCUUCAUGAAAGGUACACCAGAUGCUCCUUCAUGUGGUUUCAGCCUUUUGGGGCCUUUCGAUGAUCUUU
Humulus lupulus (European hop) is the source of this 277-nucleotide long non-coding RNA. RefSeq lists it as uncharacterized. The record is from RefSeq and is a predicted model, not a curated record. The transcript has 2 exons. Lineage: Eukaryota; Viridiplantae; Streptophyta; Magnoliopsida; Rosales; Cannabaceae.